RNAcentral lists this ribosomal RNA (396 nucleotides) under uncultured bacterium. RNAcentral describes it as "bacterial SSU rRNA". It matches the Rfam family "Bacterial small subunit ribosomal RNA", at positions 505 to 898 of the family's 1533-position model. The record is from RNAcentral.
GUGUCAGCAGCCGCGGUAAUACGUAGGGGGCAAGCGUUGUCCGGAUUCAUUGGGCGUAAAGCGCGUGUAGGCGGUUCGGCAGGUCCGAUGUGAAAACUCGAUGGCUCAACCUCGAGACGUCAUUGGAAACCGCCGGGCUAGAGUCCGGGAGAGGAGAGUGGAAUUCCUGGUGUAGCGGUGAAAUGCGCAGAUAUCAGGAAGAACACCAAUGGCGAAGGCAGCUCUCUGGAACGGUACUGACGCUGAGACGCGAAAGCGUGGGGAGCGAACAGGAUUAGAUACCCUGGUAGUCCACGCCGUAAACGAUGGGCGCUAGGUGUGGGUGGUGUCGACUCCAUCCGUGCCGAAGCUAACGCAUUAAGCGCCCCGCCUGGGGAGUACGGCCGCAAGGCUAAA